AUUUACAUAGAUUAUACUUUAGAUCGUAACACUGAAGAUGUUAAGGAGGUUGAUAUAAUCUGUAAAUA
This 68-nucleotide transfer RNA is filed under the name unidentified. RNAcentral describes it as "Gonodactylaceus sp. tRNA-Phe". The record is from RNAcentral.